RNAcentral lists this ribosomal RNA (486 nucleotides) under uncultured bacterium. RNAcentral's name for it is "bacterial SSU rRNA". It matches the Rfam family "Bacterial small subunit ribosomal RNA", at positions 33 to 507 of the family's 1533-position model. The record is from RNAcentral.
AGGAGACGCUGGCGGCGUGGAUUAGGCAUGCAAGUCGAACGGUAUCAUCCUUUCGGGGGUGAGAGAGUGGCGAACUGGUGAGUAACACGUAGGUUAUCUACCUCAAGACGGGGACAACCCAGGGAAACUUGGGCUAAUACCGGAUGUGAGCAACUUUUAGUUGUUUGAAAGGUGGCGUAAGCUGUCGCUUGGGGAUGAGCCUGCGUCCUAUUAGUUAGUUGGUGAGGUAACGGCUCACCUAGGCAAUGAUAGGUAGGCGGCCUUAACGGGUGGUCGCCCACACUGGGAUUGAGAUACGGCCCAGACUCCUACGGGAGGCAGCAGUCGAGAAUAGUCUACAAUGGUCGGAAGACUGAUAGUGCGACGCCGCGUGAACGAUGAAUCCCUUCGGGGUGUAAAGUUCUUUUAUAUGUGAGCAGUGCUUCUUAUAUUAACAGUAUGGGGAGAGAGAUAUUAGCAUAUGAAUAAGCAACGGCUAACUCCGUG